Schistosoma haematobium is the source of this 45-nucleotide non-coding RNA. NCBI's taxonomy places the organism in Eukaryota, Metazoa, Platyhelminthes, Trematoda, Strigeidida, Schistosomatidae. The record is from Rfam.
GUCCAGCUGAUGAGUCCUAAAUAGGACGAAACGAGCGUUCUGGAU